CCUGAGAAACCCAAAAGAUCGAAUGGGGAGAUUCAUCGUCAGCGAUCCAGGCGCGUGUGCGGUUCGUGAUGCCGUAAGACUUCGGUCUUGAGGUACACGUCCGUGUGGUUUUCUGCCUGGUGUCGUCGGCGUGCACUUCUCCCCUAGUAGGACGUCGCGACCCGUUGGGUGUCGGUCUACGGCCCGGGUGGGUGCCUGUCAUGUGUACGACGCUUCACGGCGUCAUGUGGCUGACAGACCCCCGGUUGUCUGACCAGCUGCCCGGCGGUACUCGCACGGUAUCGAGCCGCAAUUUGAACUGCGUCCAGCCCGCCGCAAGCGAGGCCAGUGUUUCCCGGAAGUACGGACCUAGUGCCGUCACCGGGCCUGGCCAGCUGUUGGUUGGCGGUGUCCUAGGACUGGCUUUAACGAUACCG
RNAcentral lists this ribosomal RNA (416 nucleotides) under Ophion obscuratus. RNAcentral describes it as "eukaryotic LSU rRNA". Lineage: Eukaryota; Metazoa; Arthropoda; Insecta; Hymenoptera; Ichneumonidae. The record is from RNAcentral.